This 172-nucleotide ribosomal RNA is filed under the name Paenibacillus cucumis (ex Kampfer et al. 2016). RNAcentral's name for it is "partial 23S ribosomal RNA". It matches the Rfam family "Bacterial large subunit ribosomal RNA", at positions 1 to 167 of the family's 2925-position model. Lineage: Bacteria; Bacillati; Bacillota; Bacilli; Caryophanales; Paenibacillaceae. The record is from RNAcentral.
AUAGGGUUAAGCUACUAAGAGCACACGGAGGAUGCCUAGGCGCUAGGAGCCGAUGAAGGACGUGGCGAACAACGAAACUGCCUCGGGGAGCUGUAAGCAAGCUUUGAUCCGGGGAUGUCCGAAUGGGGAAACCCAGCUGGGGUAAUUUCCAGUUACACCUAACUGAAUACAU